Molecule: long non-coding RNA, 1361 nt
Filed under: Felis catus (domestic cat)
Lineage: Eukaryota; Metazoa; Chordata; Mammalia; Carnivora; Felidae
Description: lncRNA (ENSFCAG00000051242.1)
Source: RNAcentral
GCUUGAGCAGAGUUGUUCUAAAAAUGUGUCCAAAUUCUCUUUGCUCUUUAUAAGAUCAGCUGAGAUCUUGUCACGUAAAGAAGGCGCCGUGCGACCAGGGCAGGCUGUGUGAUGUGCACAGGGCCGGAGAAUACCCACCCGAGGGGCUGGACUUCAUCGGGGCUCCCACGUGGUGCUGCCCCCAACCCCGGGCAGAAGGCACCUCGAGCUGGGGGGGGGGGGAGGGAGCCCAGGGCUGGCCAGACUCAGCUCAUCUGGCCCAGGAGAGGGAGGAGCUAGCUUGUGCACGAGGCCGAGGGAGAGGGAACUGAGCAGUACCAGAUUCCCCUGAGCACGGAGGGGACCCCGGCAGAGGGGCGCAGGGCCCCAGACGUGGGGAGGGAGCCUCAGAGGUCCUUCCCAAGCAACGGGGAGCUGAGGAUGCGGGACCAGCGGGAGUGCAGCAAAGCCACCAGGAAAGUCCAUGAGGUCGCACACUUUGGCCCAGGCAGGAAGCACAGGCCAGCGGCUGACCCCACGCCGCCAGGCUGACAGGUCCCAGGCGUGUGGCCCGGGUGAUGCCCGGGCCCCACCAGGCCAAGAGGCUUCAAAGCCGAGGCGAGGAGCCUGGGGACGCUCCCGGGGCUGCCAUAGGCCGGCUGACACUUUGCAAGCACGGUCAUGUUCUGUUUGCGACCCGCCGCGGUGGCAGGCCGGGAAGCGGUCCCCGGAGGGCAUGUGCGCACCAAGUCCCCGGAAUCUUGCGGUGGGGUCUUGUGUGGGCAAAAGGUCUUUGCAGGUGUGAGUAACGAAAGGGUCUUGACACAAGAGCAUCCUGGAUUAUCUGGCGAGCGUCCUCCGGAGACACGGGAAGGGACGCAGAGAAGGGGCGGAGGCCGUGUGACGACGCAGAGGCAGAGAGAUGUCUCCACCAGACGCCGCACAGGGCAGGAAGCCUCCCCGGGAGUCUGUGGAGGGAGCAUGGCGUGUGGACACCUUUGCCUCAGGAGACACCCACCUGAUCUGGGAAGCCUUCAACCACUAGAGGUGCUUCAACGAUGCAGAUCCAGACGGACAUCGCUAGUGACACAUCACCUCUGAGCCUGCAGGGCCCAUCCUUGCAAGGAGCCGUGAGCACCAUCGUCGCCCUCGGCGCGGAAGCGGCCAAAUCCUGGGGGGAACGCCCCGCGGUUAUAAUAAGCUUUCUCACGAUGGGCCUUGGGAGGAAUUAGAAAUAUAAUUUUUCAGGCGCUUACAAAAUAUCAAGUAAUUGGAGCUUCUGCACAUAAAAGGGGCACACCAUGAGAUAUGUGGCUCCCUUUUUAAAAGAACCUAUUUAUAUAUUAAAACAAUAAAAUACGUCCAAGGGAGCGCUGGCCCCA